This 92-nucleotide transfer RNA is filed under the name Isoptericola halotolerans. Its description in RNAcentral is "tRNA-Ser". It matches the Rfam family "tRNA". From Rfam's summary of the family: Transfer RNA (tRNA) molecules are approximately 80 nucleotides in length. Their secondary structure includes four short double-helical elements and three loops (D, anti-codon, and T loops). Further hydrogen bonds mediate the characteristic L-shaped molecular structure. tRNAs have two regions of fundamental functional importance: the anti-codon, which is responsible for specific mRNA codon recognition, and the 3' end, to which the tRNAs corresponding amino acid is attached (by aminoacyl-tRNA synthetases). tRNAs cope with the degeneracy of the genetic code in two manners: having more than one tRNA (with a specific anti-codon) for a particular amino acid; and 'wobble' base-pairing, i.e. permitting non-standard base-pairing at the 3rd anti-codon position. Lineage: Bacteria; Bacillati; Actinomycetota; Actinomycetes; Micrococcales; Promicromonosporaceae. RNAcentral also lists the same sequence under 3 other names. The record is from RNAcentral.
GGAGACGUCGCAUAGUCUGGUCUAGUGCGCCACCCUGCUAAGGUGGUAACGGGGCAACCCGUUCGGGGGUUCAAAUCCCCCCGUCUCCGCCA